AACAUUCGUACCCGAGGCAGCAUCGGAGGCGGACGGCUUCUUCUCCUGCUCCCGAGUGUUUUGUGUGAAGUUCUAGCUCUGCUGGCUGACUGACUGAUUGGUGUGUGAAAACAAAAAAAUCAGUUUUAUUUUCGCUCUUGUGUGGCUGCAUAGAAGAAAUUCUUUUCUGAUAAGCUCGGAAAAGGUAUAAAAGGAUAUUUUCCUUUCAUUUUCGGUGCGCGUCGCGUGUGUGUAUGUGUGAGAGGAGGAAUCUGAAGACGAAUUCCGGAAUUCAUCCGUCGAGGGCGCGUCUGGUCUCAAAUUGAAAAAAAAAGAAGGAUUUUCCCAGUGCGAAGUUGCAACAGAAGUGCGUCUGUGUUUAUUGUCGCCGCCGUCGUUGUCGUUUGCGUCGGAACUUUGUGUGAAAAAAUUCUAGUGGUGCAGGAGCAGCAAAGCGCAGAUCCGUCAUCAAUCUGUCGUUUUCAGUCCGAAUCGGAUCACGGAAGUCGUCCGGACCCUUCUAGUGCGUCGAAGAGUGUCAGUGGAAAGUGCGUCAAGAAAAAUUUUCCCCAUCGGGAAAAAGGCUAGAGAAAGAGAACGAGGUGCUCUGGUCAGUUCAGCAGUGUUGCUGCAGAGCAUAUCUGCAGACGGAAAAUUUGGUUGGAUAACGCGAUAGCGUCAGCCCAGCCAACAGUGUGUGUGGAGCGCCGCGCCGAAGGCAGCCCAUCACCUGAGCCAACAACAUACGCUAAGAAAGCGUAGCAGUUGAUACAUAAAAACAGCUUAAAACCGAACAGCGGAAGGGUUGUGAUUCGAAUACUAGUUUUUUUUUAUAAGUAAACAAAAGUGAACCAUUCUCUCUUAGUCAUAAAUAUUUCCUAAGGUGAUAAUGUCCUGUGAAAAGUGUUUAAAUAUCAAUUGAACCAAUUUGACGGUGGUUCGAUUCUAACGCGUUGAUUGUCCAACCAUAUCCCGUUGGAGCAGGCUCAAUCGGCGCCCAUUUGUGUGUACACUUUUUCUUGAAUCAAGACAACUCGCGAAUCGACUCGCUUCGAAAUACGUAUGCGUCCGAACAACGUUUACGAUCGCUAUCGCUGGAAAAAGAUGGAUCAACCGAUGGAACGAGGCGCCACGGCGGCCGUCGAUGCCGUCAGUGGACAGAAAAUUCCAGUCCUCACCACCACCGGAGGAGGUGGUGGUGGUGGUGGCGGCGGCGGGGGAGGAGGUACUUCCAGUCCCACACGGACCUCCGAAUCUCCGUCGUCACAAUCCACAUCGCCAUCAGGUGGUACGGCUGGCUCCACGACAUCACCGCUGUCGAGACGGGCCAACAAAAGGAAAAAUUCCUCAGUCAACCUAGCGACAGGAAACGCAGCAGCCCGCAAGCGGCGUAAGCUUCAGCAGGCACAGCAGCAGAAGACAGGCGAUCCGGCCGGAGCCGACCAGGGUCCCCAGACGAAGAAUACCGUCGCGGUGCUGAACGAACUGAAGCGGAACCUGGUGUACAACAUGGAAUCGCAAACUGGCCCGGUGCAUGCGCCCCUCUUCACGAUGUCUGUGGUGGUCGACGGUCAAAAGUUCAUGGGUCACGGCCGGAGUAAAAAGUUGGCGCGGAUUGAAGCUGCCGCGGCAGCCCUGCGAAGUUUCAUCCAGUUCAAAGACGGUGCCACACUAACCCCGAUCAAACCACUGCAGAACGUGGACUUUACCAGCGACGAUCCGAUGAUCGAUAACAGCAUAUUCCCGCUGUCGGAUCCGCCGGCGCUGCCGGAAUCGGUUGUGACUACUCCGGCGGCUGCGGCUGUGACGACGACGCCGAACAACAAGUCCAAGGGACCGUCCGAAAGGGAACACAAGGAUCGCCAGAACGGACCCAACCACAACAAUAACAAUAAUAAUAAUACCAACAACAACAACAACAACAUCAACAUCAACAAUGUGCACUCAACAAACAACAGUAAUUCCCCUUGUCAGCCCAGUCCAAGUUCAAAUUUCAGCCAUCAUAACAGUACUACCACUAGUUACUAUCACCAAACCGCUAGCCCUAACAGUACUACUAGUAAACCCAGCUACAAUAACAAUAACAUUAACAAUAGCAACACUACUUCCGGUUUUCCUACGUCCCAUCCCGGUUCCUUCUGUAACAAUAGUACACCACCGCAAGGACACUUCCAUUCCCUUCACAACCAAAACCAUUACACCUACAACAACAACAACAACAAUCACUAUUCGAGUUACCACUACCACAACCAACACGAAAAUUAUCUGCAACUGCAAAAACAACAACAACAACACCACAAUCAUAACCAAGUGGUGCCGCAUCAGCAGUCUACCAAUCACUACUACAGCAAGACCGGCAGCAGUGCGAAUGCCUUCGCCGCGGCCAUUGCAACGGUUGCCUCCAACUCCUCUUCCACCAAAAUUGACAAUACCACCAAUACCACCAAAACCACCACCAUCACUACCACCAUGAACCAUAGCAGUAAUGCCAACAAUAUCUUAGCGACUACUACUGCUGCUUGUCCUCCGCCAGGCGCCGCCGCUGCUGCGACAAACAAUAGCAGCGGCAACAGUGCUGCUGGUGGUAGUGGUAGCCAUGCUUCAAGCCAUGCCAACAUCAACCCGAGCAACAGCAACAGCAUCAUCGGCAACAACAGCAGCAGCAGCAGCAAUAGCAGUAGUAGCAGUGUAGGUGGUGGAUCGACGCCGACAGCUGCUGCUGCAGCAGUGACCCCCGUUAGCGCGCAUAACGGCCAUCGGCAGGUGGUCGAAAAGAUACAGCAAAGUUUAGAUCUAUUUAAAAAUUCCAAUGAAAAGAAUGUAGCAUGGAAGAAGCGAUUAGAAAAGCUCAAAACGUCGGCGGUCAGCGCGUCGCGGAAUGUGACACCCGGCCAACCGCCGAAGCCCCAGCCGGAGAAGGGACCGGUCAUGUUGCUGCACGAGCUGUUCACCGAUGCACACUUCGAAUGCGUCUCGACCGAUGGACUGCAGCACUCCAAGUUCACCGUGGUCGUGACGGUCGAUAACCAACGGUUCGAGGGUACCGGCCCGUCGAAGAAGAUGGCAAAGAAUGCUGCGGCCAAGGCGGCCCUCGCGUCCAUGUGCAACAUCUCGUUCAGCCCGCUGCAGCAGGCCAAGUUUGGUGUGAUGAACUCGUCCGUCGGUAUGGGCGGCAUGGGCAUCUCAGGACCCGGCGGGGUCGGCAUCAACGGAGAUGCCACCGGGGGGUGCUACGAUCAGAAGAACGUGGAACUGCCGCAGACGUUUGCCGACGCGGUUGGAAAACUGGUCAUCGAAAAGUUCAACGAAGUGAUGAAGGGCAACGACGUCUACUCGCGACGGAAGGUGCUGGCCGGAAUCGUCAUGACCCAGGGGUACGAUGCCAAGACUGCUAAGGUUAUCUCGCUGGCCACCGGAACGAAAUGCGUCAGCGGCGAGCACAUGAGCGUCACCGGAUCGGUCAUCAACGAUUCGCACGCGGAAAUCAUUGCCCGCCGAGGUCUGUUGGACUUCUUCUACACUCAACUGGAUCUGCACUGUCGGCGACAGACCGCCAACAAGAUCAGCGCCCCGGCCCUAUGCAACGGAAACGGUACCGAAGAGCCGGAACAGCAGCCGGAAAGUAGCAUCUUCGGCGCUCCGACCGAUGGCUCCGGUCUGUACAAACUGAAGGACGGCAUACACUUCCAUCUGUACAUCAACACGGCACCCUGCGGAGACGCCCGAGUGUUCAGUCCGCACGAGAACGACAACAUGGACGUGGACAAGCACCCGAAUCGGAAAGCUCGCGGCCAGCUGCGCACCAAGGUGGAAUCGGGCGAAGGGACGAUACCGGUCAAGAGCAGCGAGGGCAUUCAGACGUGGGAUGGUGUCCUGCAGGGGCAGCGUCUGCUGACGAUGUCCUGCUCGGACAAAAUAUCACGUUGGAACGUACUCGGCUUGCAGGGAUCGCUGCUCGCGUCCGUGAUCGAGCCGAUCUAUCUGCACUCGAUCGUGCUGGGCAGCUUGCUGCAUCCGGCGCACAUGUACCGUGCCAUCUGCGGUCGCAUCGAGAGCUCGAUCCAGGGCCUGCCGCCGCCGUAUCGAUUGAACAAGCCCAAGCUGGCACUGAUGACGUCGGCGGAAUCACGCAACCAAACCAAGCCCCCGAACUUCAGCAUCAACUGGCUGCUCGGGUGCCCGGAGGUUGAGAUCGUCAAUUCCUUCACCGGCAAGCUGAUCAACAACAACACCAACACCAACAAGAUGUCCCGACUGUCGAAGCAGUCGUUCUACCGACGGUACGCGGCCGUCAUUGAGAGGCUUCCGCACGCGCGCUUCCACGAGGUCAAACCGAGCUACGGCGAGUCGAAGACCUGCGUCCCGGAGUACCAGCAGGCGAAGAAGGAACUGUUUAACGCCUUCAGCAAGGAGGAUCUGGGCGACUGGUUGAAGAAACCGAUCGAGCAGGAUCAGUUCACAUUGAUGACGCCGAAACCGGAGGAGCUGGCGGCAGUGGUGACGGUGACCCCGGCGAACAAUGGCGGCAGCAGCAGCAGCAGCGGCGGUGUCGGUUCCGGUGCCAACGCUAGCAACGGUUCAGGACCGACGUCCGGCGGUAAAUGACAGCAGGGGAAGCACUCCGGUAAGCAUCAGAACGGUGGCGGUUCGUCGUCAUCGUCCAGUGCGAGGUUGUUUUGAAAACAGCCGGAGCGGGCGAGAGAACAAAGGUAAAGUCGAAUUAUUGCUCUUUAAGAGAUACGGGGGAAGCAGCUGCCGAUGGAGGAAGUAGUAAUUUUAAGCAGAUAUUUCGUCAUUUGGUACCUAAUCGAAUAGUAGUGGGACGGACGCAAAGGGCAACAUGCAGGAGGCGUAACAACACAGUAGAGUGUUUCGUCGUUACUGGAUUGUGUUUGUACCGUUUACUAGAGGUUAGCUUUUAGGUUUAGGAAACACUCAAUAGUAGCAGGCACCAUUGAUUUUACGUUUUAUCAUUGAUUUUAUACGAUUUUUUUUUUAAACGUUGCAUGUUCAUGUGCACGUUCAGAUCAUUUUAAUUUAUUUUCUACGAGACAGAUUUGACGAAUUUAAGUUUUCUGUUGGUUGUGUGAAAAACUCUACUAUAAUCGGAUAGCAAAAAUGCAUCAUCAUUCUGUGAACGCUAGAAUAGUAACUGACUCUAAUUAAAUACUAAAUUUAUAGGUAGCGUGUAAGUUUUAUCUUUCAAGAUCAGCAUAAAAAACAAAUAAACCGUUUGAACGCUUUGAGCGUUUGUAUGCGCGGAUGAAGGAAGAGUUAGAUGAAAAGAAUAAGUAACUCUUCUUGAGAGCUCAGAUGUUAAAGUAUCAUAUUGAACCGAAUUGUGAUUGCGCGAAAAGCUCGGUUUGCAAAUUACUCUAGGUGAUAAGGUUCCGUCAAAUAGGGGUUGAUGUUACUGGAAACGGAAAAUCAAACUUAAAAGAAUUUGGAUCAGUUGGCGGUUGUUUGGGUUGCUGGCGGGGUUUAGAAGAUUUGAACGCUUUGAUGAGAAUCUGAAACUCUGAUUCGAGUAGGUAAAUCCCACUUGAUUUCAAAGGAAAUUUUGCAAAGCAUUUGAGGCAGAUUCAGAAGACAUCCGAGGACAUUUGUAUUGAUUAGUAGAAGAAGUUAAGUUGAUAAAUGAAGAAAGUACUAAACCACGCAAAUUCCUGAAGACGGUUCAGUCGAAAAUGUAGAUAGUUUCCAAAAGAACUCCAUUUGAAUAAGUGACGAAGACUAAAAAGUACGGCCAUUCGGCCGCCUAUUAGCUGAGAUCGGUUACCUUUUCAUUAGCUCUUUGUGCCAUGUUGCUCCUUACUAGCUCUUAUACCAUGGGAACUUUAACUUGGAGGAGGAAUGGAGCGAAGUGAAAAAGACCAAUCCGUUAGAGCGACAACUAAUUUUAUUCAAACAUUCAUGGCUGACAAAGAUCUAUAUUUAAUUCUAGGCUGUAGUAGAGAGGGACUAGAAUAAGAGAGGAACGGACUGGCUAGUUUUGAGCCAAACGAACUGUCAAAGGCAGAGUCAAUCGAGCAGCGGCUACACUGUACCAAAACAGCAUCCUUUGUUCUAAUGAAACCUCAGGCCAUUAAAAUCGCUUCUUCAAAUGAUAGCUGCAACCGGAUGACGUUUGUCAUGUAAUCAGAUGAUGGUCCUCUCCAAUACAGGAUGAACAUUGAAACGAGAAGUGAACGGACCUCAGCUGUAGAAUGAUUGUUAUCCCAAAUUGAAAUGCAUAUGGUAUUGGUUCAGUCCCAUAACGUAAAUCAUCCUAAACGAUGAUGUAAAUAAUUCAAUCGAACGUCAUUUGCUGAUCUGAGCAGACAAGUAUAGCCAUCGCUAUCAGAGGUAGUACGAACAUUGGAAAAGCGUGGACACCGAAUAUUGUCUAUUUCGUGGUGCAGGAAGUUUCCUCUACCAAUAAGUGAUUUGUGGCUGUUCAUGGCUAUUCAAUAUGGAAAUUUUAACAAUCGAAUUAUAAAUCUAGAAAUCUAGUAUAAAGCAUUUGCAAGUCAUCCUAUCCUUAAAUUGUUGCCCUUUGGCGCUGUAUGUUUUACAGUCAAUUUUCAAAUAAAUCAAGACCAACAAUUGAAAUGGCCUUAACUCCAUUUUGUAAACAAACCUUGUGAGGCCAUUUUCUCGCGAACCGAAGUCCGCAAAGGCAAACCAACAUAAUGAACAGGUAGGGGAAAUUCUCCUCUACCCGAUUGUGGUUUAGGUUUGCGAACGAAGGUUUCGGUUCGCGAGAAAAUGACCUUAGAAGGUUUGUUUACAAAGUGAAGUUGAGGCGAUUUUAAAAAAAAACCUUUAUUUGGAGGGCAGUCAUAUGGAUGCUUAUCAGUUGAUGUCAAAUUCAACCAUAAGGCAAUCAUCCGAAAUUUGACGGCAUACUGUUAAAGGGCUUGAGCAAUGCAAUAUGUGAAUGACGCAAUGAUUGAAUUGGCAGUGUUGCUAGAAAUCAUCUAGUCAUAGGUUGCCAUUUCAGUUUGUUUUGAAUCCGCUCCUCUCAUAGGCUGUAGCUCUUCGCGUUACUAAAAGCAUCGCUUCACUUUCUUCCAGGGAGACUUCGAGCCAAAUACCUACACCAUAGAUGAUUGGAUUGGUAUAGAAAUAAGGAAAACGGGGCGAAAUUUGAAAUUAGUGUUACUGUUAGGGGCAGUAUCAGCGUAGCUUCAUUAGCGGAACUUCUUCAGCAACGCACAGGGUAAACCUUCCAUAGGUUCCCGAUCUCAACCUUAUGUAUCAUCGUCUCCGUUCUUCUUUGGCGGUGAACUGUCGAGGCAAAACUGGCUCGUUUGGAAGAGCCUCCACAGUAAAUAAGGACUGCUGGUAUCUACCGGAUUUUUGAUAUUCUACCAGGAAAGUUGAAGGUUGGUUCGUUGGUUGUCUUAUUAAGGAGAUUUUCAGCCACAAGCGAAAGAUUUUUUUAAGCUUAGGUUCAUCACAUUCAAGCUGAUUAAAGCUGAAUAAGCCUCAUUUUAACUGAAUAAGAUAAUUUAGGGAAGCAUAAACUGCUAUUCAGCUAAAUCUGGCGAUGGUAUUUGAAUCUUUUUUAGACCCAAACGUACUAUUCAAUCGACUGAAUCUCUGGAACCAUAAGCUCGAUGAUCUUGAAAUUUACUAACUUUUCCUAACGGUAAACCUUCAGCAUUUGUUUUUCUUUAUUAAAAAGAUUUUCAGCCUUAGGCUGGUUCAUCUCUAGAGGCUCCAGAAGGAAGACUCUCAAAGUACUAUACUUGUUGGCUCGUUCGUAAGGGCGUCGCGGAUACUCCCGGGUAUAUUGUAGCAGUUUCUAGCUCGUUCGUAUUUUGGGCAGAGGCUAUGAAGUGUUCCACGGUUUGUGGCGUGAGCCAGGGGUCACAUACCCUUCGAAAAGGCCCAUCUCUCUUGUAGUUAUAGGAGAUAUUUGUAUGGCCGGACGGGAUGCCACGACCUGCUCCCGGUGUAGUGGUGGGUCAUCCCACCUGGUAGUAUUUCCUGUGAUCAUUCGGAGGUGAUCUAGCUGCCAUCCAGUCGUAGGCCCAGGCUUCCUUUUUCAAAUCAGGACCUGGGAUCUUUCGGGUUUAAUCUGGCCAUGCGCCGACCAGAGGCAGCGAGGUGGUCUGCUUCUAUGUUCCCUUGGACACCGCCUUUCGGUACAUAUUUUUGGAUCGCCUGGAUUCAAGUUUCAGGAUUUUAGGUGUAUGGUAAGAGCCUUCUGAAAAAAAAAUCGUACCUACGGCUUCUGGGCAUCCUUUUUAGCUGUUCGCUGAAACUGUUUUCCAACAGAAAUUCAACAUGCAACAUGCAUUUUUUGCAAUGUCUUGGCAACUGUCAAUAUGUCAGAUCUAGACGACUCCCAAGGAAAACUAAAAAAGCUGCUUGUUGAGAAAAUUGAAGUUUUCCAAGUACUCUUUCAGGCCUAUUCUGCGCGGCGUGUGGGGUAAGGUGACUCGCUGUCACUAGGGAAGUGACAAUUGUCACCUCGGGUGAGGUGAUUCUCCAUUUGAUUUGUAUGUCCAGCGAACUCCAUACUGCGAUUCAAAUGUUUACCAAUUUUCCUUGGAAUGUCGUCUGUCCUAAAGGGAUUCAGUGGAAUUCUGAUCAAAAACUGAGAAGCUCCAAACGAAAGACUUUAACCAACACUGAUAAUAUUACCUAGGAUAAUCUAGAAAGCUCUGAGAAUAAAUCUAGCAUUGUUAUCGGAGCUACUGAAUUAAUUCAAGAUCAAUUAUCGAAAAGGUCUCAUCAGCUUUUGUAAAAUAAAAAAAAAAAUCUUGUGCGCUUUUCUCGUGAAUCGAAGCUCGUCGACGCAUACCAACAACACUAUCAAAUAGGGGAAGCUUUCCCCUACCUGAUAGUGAUAGUGUGCAGAGGUUGCCUAAGUCAACAACUCCCAGUUGGCAGAUAAUUAAGAUUCUGGGUGGAGUUCAGGCGAGUCCUGAAUGAAAUUACAGGACCAGAAGAUUUCAGUGGAAAAACUUGAGGAGUACUCAUUAGAUUCAGAAUGUAAGCCCGAAGAUAAAUGUAGACAACUCCAGCAUGAUCUGUAGAGGUAUAAUUCCCAGGUAAAAUCUAGGCGAUUACAGACAGAACUUUCAAGGGAAGCGUGCAAAGAUUAGAGGAACUCAAAAUGUCUGCAAGAAAUAGCCUCAAAGGAUUAAAUAGGCUUUGGUCAAGAUAUUUCGGAUUCUCGACUCAAAGUCAAUGGAACUAUUCGUUGCAAGUCCAGAGCUGAUAAGGCAUUUUCAAUUGUCGAUCUAGAAUUGUAGUACUUUAGGAAGUUCUGGGUGACAGUGUUGAUUCCAGUGACAAUGCAGAGGUCGCCUAAGUGAACAACUCCCAGUUUGCGGAUGUUUAAGAUUCUUGGUGGAGUUCAGGCGAGUCCUGAAUGAAAUGUUCAGAACCAGAAGAUUUCAGUGUGAAAACUUGAGGAGUACUCAUAAGAUUCAGAAUAUAAAUGUAGACAACUCCAGGACGAUCUGUAGAGGUAAAAUUCCCAGGUAAAAUCUAGGCGAUUGCAGGCAGAACUUUCAAGGGAAGCGUGCAAAGAUUAGAGAAACUCAAAAUGACUGAAAGAAAUAGCCUAAAAGGAUUAAAUAGGCUUUGGUCAAGAUAUUUCUGAUUCCCGACUCAAAGUCAAUGGAACUAUUCGGUGCAAGACCAGUGAAUGCCAUUGGGAGAAUUUAAAACUUGAUUGAGGAUAAUUUCCGACGUAGUGCAGUAGGUAAAGGCAAUAAAGUCUCUGAUUUGUUUGAAUCUAUUCAUUUAUUUAUCAAGACUCAAAUGUGCAAGCUUUACGGAGCCGAAAUUCGUUUGACUGUUUACAAUGUUUCUUAAUUCUAGAGUUAGCACAAGAGAGGGCUGAAUACUCGUGGCUUACUAGAGGUUAUUCAGGGAAUUCUCGAGAGCAGGUCAAAAACUUCGAAGGAAGGCCUAUAUAAGCAACCACCUUUUAUUGAAUUCUCAUGUGAUUUGAUGAGCGCUGGCUGAAGCCAGAUUCUAACUACUUUCCCUGGGGCACUCGUACCAAGUCCAGAUGUGACCAUUGUG
This is an RNA transcript of Ochlerotatus camptorhynchus, 10008 nucleotides long. It is a transcript of the gene named Adenosine deaminase acting on RNA, with no coding region annotated. The record is from RefSeq and is a predicted model, not a curated record. Lineage: Eukaryota; Metazoa; Arthropoda; Insecta; Diptera; Culicidae. The transcript is spliced from 12 exons.